CUUUUUGAUUUUAAUUUAAAGUUUAACCUGCCCAUUGAAAAUUUUUAAAAGGCUGCGGUAUUUUGACUGUACAAAGGUAGCAUAAUCAUUAGUUUUUUAAUUGAAAACUUGUAUGAAUGGUUGAAUGAGAAAUUAACUUUUUUAAAAAAAUAAUUGAAUUUUACUUUUUAAUUAAAAGGUUAAAAUAAAUUUAAAAGACGAGAAGACCCUAUAGAGUCUUAUAAUUUUUAUUUAAUAUUUAAAAAGAUUAAUUAAAAUUUUAUAAAAGAAAAUAUUUUGUUGGGGUGGUAAUAAAAUUUAAAUAACUUUUAUUUUUUUUUACAUUAAUAUAUGAAUUUAUGAUCCAUUAUUGAUGAUUAGAAAUUUAAAUUACCUUAGGGAUAACAGCGUAAUUUUUUUUUAAAGUUCAUAUUAAUAAAAAAUUUUGCGACCUCCAUGUUGGAUUAAGAUUUAAUUUUAGGUGCAGCAGUUUAAAUUUUAAGUCUGUUCGACUUUUAAUUUCUU
RNAcentral lists this ribosomal RNA (504 nucleotides) under Pseudolycoriella huttoni. RNAcentral describes it as "partial 16S ribosomal RNA". The record is from RNAcentral. Lineage: Eukaryota; Metazoa; Arthropoda; Insecta; Diptera; Sciaridae.